RNAcentral lists this ribosomal RNA (425 nucleotides) under uncultured bacterium. RNAcentral describes it as "partial 16S ribosomal RNA". It matches the Rfam family "Bacterial small subunit ribosomal RNA", at positions 354 to 796 of the family's 1533-position model. The record is from RNAcentral.
GUUAGGAAUAUUGGACAAUGGGCGCAAGCCUGAUCCAGCCAUGCCGCGUGAGUGAUGAAGGCCUUCGGGUUGUAAAGCUCUUUAGCCGAUGAUUAUAAUGACUGUAGUCGGAAAAUAAGCCCCGGCUAACUUCGUGCCAGCAGCCGCGGUAAUACGAAGGGGGCGAGCGUUAUUCGGAAUCACUGGGCGUAAAGCGUGCGUAGGCGGCUUUGCAAGUUGGGAGUGCAAGCCCAGGGCUCAACCGUGGAAUUGCUCUCAAAACUGCAAGGCUCGAAUUCGGGAGAGGAUAGCGGAAUUGUCAGUGUAGCAGUGAAAUGCGUAGAUAUUGACAGGAACACCAGUGGCGUAAGCGGCUAUCUGGACCGAUAUUGACGCUGAGGCACGAAAGCGUGGGGAUCAAACAGGAUUAGAUACCCGAGUAGUCC